AUUGAACGCUGGCGGCAGGCCUAACACAUGCAAGUCGAGCGGAUGAGUGGAGCUUGCUCCAUGAUUCAGCGGCGGACGGGUGAGUAAUGCCUAGGAAUCUGCCUGGUAGUGGGGGACAACGUUUCGAAAGGAACGCUAAUACCGCAUACGUCCUACGGGAGAAAGUGGGGGAUCUUCGGACCUCACGCUAUCAGAUGAGCCUAGGUCGGAUUAGCUAGUUGGUGAGGUAAAGGCUCACCAAGGCGACGAUCCGUAACUGGUCUGAGAGGAUGAUCAGUCACACUGGAACUGAGACACGGUCCAGACUCCUACGGGAGGCAGCAGUGGGGAAUAUUGGACAAUGGGCGAAAGCCUGAUCCAGCCAUGCCGCGUGUGUGAAGAAGGUCUUCGGAUUGUAAAGCACUUUAAGUUGGGGGGAAGGGCAGUAAGUUAAUACCUUGCUGUUUUGACGUUACCAACAGAAUAAGCGCCGGCUAACUUCGUG
RNAcentral lists this ribosomal RNA (484 nucleotides) under uncultured bacterium. RNAcentral's name for it is "bacterial SSU rRNA". It matches the Rfam family "Bacterial small subunit ribosomal RNA", at positions 30 to 507 of the family's 1533-position model. The record is from RNAcentral.